CUGCCUUGUACUGGAGUAUAGCCCAGGGAAACUUGGAUUAAUCCUCCAUAGUAUAUAGAAUUGGCAUCAUUUCUAUAUUAAAGGUUACGGUACAAGAUGAGCAUGCGUCCUAUUAGCUAGUAGGUGUGGUAACGGCACACCUAGGCGACGAUAGGUAGGGGUCCUGAGAGGGAGAUCCCCCACACUGGUACUGAGACACGGACCAGACUCCUACGGGAGGCAGCAGUGAGGAAUAUUGGACAAUGGGCGAAAGCCUGAUCCAGCCAUGCCGCGUGCAGGA
This 280-nucleotide ribosomal RNA is filed under the name marine bacterium SIMO-IS122. Its description in RNAcentral is "partial 16S ribosomal RNA". It matches the Rfam family "Bacterial small subunit ribosomal RNA", at positions 126 to 408 of the family's 1533-position model. Lineage: Bacteria; Pseudomonadati; Bacteroidota. The record is from RNAcentral.